CCUAAGUUUGAGAGGAAGGGGUACAGUGGAAACAACAAUUUCCACGACACCUCCAACAAGUAUACCAGUAACAAGGCCGAGACUUCCAAAAAAGAAUGGAAGCCUAGGCAUGAUAACAAGGUAUACCAAGCCUCAACCAGCAAGCCAAAGGGUGUAAUUCCACUAUGGAAAAGGAACACCCCGCUUACUAUCAGAAAAGGCGAGCUGUUUGAGAAGCUAAAGAACCGAGCGGAUCUACCUGUCCCUCGCUCUUUAGACCCUGCAGCAAAGAGG
Molecule: long non-coding RNA, 273 nt
Filed under: Zostera marina
Lineage: Eukaryota; Viridiplantae; Streptophyta; Magnoliopsida; Alismatales; Zosteraceae
Description: long non-coding RNA (ZMAR_LNC003047)
Source: RNAcentral